This 227-nucleotide long non-coding RNA is filed under the name Elaeis guineensis (African oil palm). RNAcentral describes it as "long non-coding RNA (EGUI_LNC006830)". Lineage: Eukaryota; Viridiplantae; Streptophyta; Magnoliopsida; Arecales; Arecaceae. The record is from RNAcentral.
AUCUCUCUCUCUCUCUCUCUCUCUCUCUCUCUAUAUAUAUAUAUAUAUAUAUAUAUAUAGAGUGAGAGAGAUGAACUGGUUGCUUUCAAUCGAAUUUGGUGCCAGAUCCAGUCGGGUCUUCCACCACUCGAUCCGCAUAGAUCUCAUUGCCAUCAACCAUUCUUUAAAUGGUAACUUUUCCAUUUGGCUUGAGAAAAAACAAAAAAAAUAAAAACAUUCAAUAUAUA